CGCGGUAAUACGUAGGGGGCGAGCGUUGUCCGGAUUUACUGGGCGUAAAGGGUGAGUAGGCGGUAAUAUGUGUCAGAUGUAAAAGGCUAUGGCUUAACCAUAGUUGGCAUUUGAAACUGUAUUACUUGAGUGCAGGAGAGGUAAGUGGAAUUCCUAGUGUAGCGGUGAAAUGCGUAGAUAUUAGGAGGAACACCAGUGGCGAAGGCGACUUACUGGACUGUAACUGACGCUGAGUCACGAAAGCGUGGGUAGCAAACAGGAUUAGAUACCCUGGUAGUCCACGCUGUAAACGAUGAGUGCUAGGUGUUGGGUAGCGAUAUUCAGUGCCGAAGUAAACACAAUAAGCACUCCGCCUGGGGAGUACGGUCGCAAGACUGAAACUCAAAGGAAUUGACGGGGACCCGCACAAGCAGCGGAGCAUGUGGUUUAAUUCGAAGCAACGCGAAGAACCUUACCAAGGUUUGACAUCCCCUUGACAGAUGCAGAGAUGUGUCCUCCCCUUCGGGGGCAAGGGAGACAGGUGGUGCAUGGUUGUCGUCAGCUCGUGUCGUGAGAUGUUGGGUUAAGUCCCGCAACGAGCGCAACCCUUAUCCUUAGUUGCCAGCAGGUUAAGCUGGGCACUCUAAGGAGACUGCCGAUGAUAAAUCGGAGGAAGGUGGGGAUGACGUCAAAUCAUCAUGCCCCUUAUAUCUUGGGCUACACACGUGCUACAAUGGUCGGUACAAAGGGCAGCGAAGGAGUGAUCUGGAGCAAAUCCCAAUAAACCGAUCCCAGUUCGGAUUGUAGGCUGCAACUCGCCUACAUGAAGUCGGAGUUGCUAGUAAUCGCGAAUCAGAACGUCGCGGUGAAUGCGUUCCCGGGUCUUGUACACACCGCCCGUCACACCAUGGAAGUUGGUAAUACCCAAAGU
Molecule: ribosomal RNA, 910 nt
Filed under: uncultured bacterium
Lineage: Bacteria
Description: bacterial SSU rRNA
Rfam family: Bacterial small subunit ribosomal RNA
Source: RNAcentral